GUUGAACGCUGGCGGCAGGCUUAACACAUGCAAGUCGAGCGGGGGAAGGUAGCUUGCUACCGGACCUAGCGGCGGACGGGUGAGUAAUGCUUAGGAAUCUGCCUAUUAGUGGGGGACAACAUCUCGAAAGGGAUGCUAAUACCGCAUACGUCCUACGGGAGAAAGCAGGGGAUCUUCGGACCUUGCGCUAAUAGAUGAGCCUAAGUCGGAUUAGCUAGUUGGUGGGGUAAAGGCCUACCAAGGCGACGAUCUGUAGCGGGUCUGAGAGGAUGAUCCGCCACACUGGGAUUGAGACACGGCCCAGACUCUUACGGGAGGCAGCAGUGGGGAAUAUUGGACAAUGGGGGGAACCCUGAUCCAGCCAUGCCGCGUGUGUGAAGAAGGCCUUAUGGUUGUAAAGCACUUUAAGCGAGGAGGAGGCUACUUUAGUUAAUACCUAGAGAUAGUGGACGUUACUCGCAGAAUAAGCACCGGCUAACUCUGUGCCAGCAGCCGCGGUAA
Molecule: ribosomal RNA, 501 nt
Filed under: uncultured bacterium
Lineage: Bacteria
Description: partial 16S ribosomal RNA
Rfam family: Bacterial small subunit ribosomal RNA
Source: RNAcentral